This 132-nucleotide small RNA is filed under the name Klebsiella variicola. RNAcentral's name for it is "RtT sRNA". It matches the Rfam family "RtT RNA". From Rfam's summary of the family: This family represents a bacterial cis-regulatory element known as RtT RNA. The record is from RNAcentral. Lineage: Bacteria; Pseudomonadati; Pseudomonadota; Gammaproteobacteria; Enterobacterales; Enterobacteriaceae.
UAUUCUGCCCUACGGGGAAGGAUGAGAAGCUUCGACCAAGGUUCGACUCGAGCGUAGCGAGAGAACGUUGCCGCAGGCAACGGCCCGAAGGGCGAGGAGCGAUAGCGACGAGUUAUCCUUCCCCCUCUAUUC